CAGACCGAGGCAAAGAGGCAGUCCUGAAACAAGCAAAACCAGGGAGCUGGACAGGGGACAGAUUGGAUUUGUCUUCAGUGUGGAAGGGAUUGUCACUCUCGAAUUGGCCUUCUCAGCCACACAAGACACUGUUCCAAGACCUCCAUACAGAGCACGAUACCAUAGUCUCUCGAGACUGAAGGAUGCCUACACAUGCAAGGAUGCCCUGUGGAUUUCAUUUGGGUCCCGUUUUAAGUGUACCAACGUGAUUUCCACCUCCUAGGGUGAACACAUGGAUCAGAGCACAGUAAUCCUUAGGGUUUUGCACUCCUAUAGUUCUCAGCUUUAAAAAAUGCCACAACGCUAGGGUAUUAAACUGCUACUUUUCACAUUCUUCUUCAUCUUCUUUUUAAAUUGCCAGUUCACACAUAAAUAGGAUAGCCUGGACUCAGGACUGAGACAAGGCAGUUUUCUGCUUGAGGUGGAGCAGCGCAUCAUGUCCCCCCCCAUGCCUCUUAAAGUGCAAUUUGGCUGAAGGGAUCCAAGUUAUUUUGGUACAUGAGACAGAAAAAUCACAACCAGGACUCCUUCCCCUUCAUGGCAGAAUAAAUAGAAUAAUGGCAUAUUAAAUGACUAUUUACUGACCUUUCAGGGCACUCAAAACCUGCUGACAGAGCCCCCUCAAUGGGGUGAGUGCUUGGGAUGCAUCCGCAGUGAAUGUACGGACAAAUAUAUCUGAGACUGAGGUGCGUUGGGAGUGGCAGAUUUAACAAGGGAAUGUCAGACAGCAGAACCAAGCGGCCAGGUUGAGAGUGGAGUUGAAUGCGCCCGUGCACACCCAGGGUCCAGAUGCAGGAAGCGGUUGAAGACAGCAGGUCAGAUGGUGAAAGGCCUUCAACCAGCCAAGAUGCAGCCACUACUCAAACAUCAGGGUCAAUUUACAAUUUCUCAGUACAAUACCGAACCUGAAAGCAGCUAGCAAGUCUGGAGACUGCCAGUGUGCCACGAAAGGUCAGCUCCCAUUAGAGGUAUUUAUUUAAUUUCGAAGCCAAAAUAGCAAUUGCAUUUAUGCGAUUUAAAAAGAAGAUUAAUUCCUCUGAUCUACAGGAGAGAAAAGGUUACAUAUUAAUUGUCACAGCCAUUUAUUUAUAUGGAUCAUCUCACAUUUCAAUAGUUAAUCUGUAUAGGAUUUAUGGGUAAAUGAUUUUGCCAGUGUGUUUUGGCCAAGAAAGAAGUAAACACAUCCCUCCCCCACCCCCCAACAUAGCUCCUCAU
Molecule: long non-coding RNA, 1254 nt
Filed under: Pogona vitticeps (central bearded dragon)
Lineage: Eukaryota; Metazoa; Chordata; Lepidosauria; Squamata; Agamidae
Description: lncRNA (ENSPVIG00000002749.1)
Source: RNAcentral